UAGAGUUUGAUCAUGGCUCAGAUUGAACGCUGGCGGCAGGCUUAACACAUGCAAGUCGAACGGUAACAUAAAGAAGCUUGCUUCUUUGAUGACGAGUGGCGGACGGGUGAGUAAUGCUUGGGAAUCUAGCUUAUGGAGGGGGAUAACUACGGGAAACUGUAGCUAAUACCGCGUAAUAUCGAAAGAUUAAAGUGUGGACCUUCGGGCCACAUGCCAUAGGAUGAGCCCAAGUGGGAUUAGGUAGUUGGUGAGGUAAAGGCUCACCAAGCCGACGAUCUCUAGCUGGUCUGAGAGGAUGACCAGCCACACUGGGACUGAGACACGGCCCAGACUCCUACGGGAGGCAGCAGUGGGGAAUAUUGCNCAAUGNGGGCAACCNUGACGCAGCCAUGCCGCGUGAAUGAAGAAGCCCUUCGGNUUGUAAGUUCUUUCGGUAGCGAGGAAGCAUUUAGNUUANAGACUAGGUGAUUGACGUUACUACNAAGAAGCNCGGCUANUUCGGGCCACCGCCCGNUAUAAGAAGGGGNNGCCUUAUCGGAUACUGNCCUAAGNNCNNUGACGUUNCUUAGCGGAGUAAACCCGGGCUCACCUGGAUUGCGCNACUGNUCAUNNA
This 613-nucleotide ribosomal RNA is filed under the name uncultured bacterium. RNAcentral describes it as "partial 16S ribosomal RNA". The stretch from base 3 to 536 matches the Rfam family "Bacterial small subunit ribosomal RNA", at positions 9 to 546 of the family's 1533-position model. The record is from RNAcentral.